AUAUCAUGCUCUUCCUCCUUCUAUCUGGUCUACUUUAAGCUCUGGUGCUGAGCCAGUAACUUCAUCAAGACUUAUUCUUUGGCAUCAUCCUAGCAAACUGGAGAUGCAAAGCCAGUGACCUCAGUCUUUGAAUGGCAGAUUUAGUUAUACAGCUAAAUAGCACCACUCCUCCUCCUGACUUGCCUACCUUUGGACUCUAUAUUCUGUUUACAGCUAAAUUGACUCUUCUCAGUUUUUGAUAGCUCUAUUUAUAAAAAAGAACAAGAAUAACUGAGAAGUCCAGAAAGCAGCAGUGCAAGUUUCUGAAAAUGAUCUGACAAUGUGUCUGAACCCUGAAGUAGAAAGAUCCAGUCCACGAAGGAGACAAUUCUUGUCCUGU
This 379-nucleotide long non-coding RNA is filed under the name Gopherus agassizii (Agassiz's desert tortoise). Its description in RNAcentral is "lncRNA (ENSGAGG00000016889.1)". The record is from RNAcentral. Lineage: Eukaryota; Metazoa; Chordata; Testudines; Testudinidae.